Molecule: ribosomal RNA, 253 nt
Filed under: uncultured bacterium
Lineage: Bacteria
Description: partial 16S ribosomal RNA
Rfam family: Bacterial small subunit ribosomal RNA
Source: RNAcentral
UACGUAGGUGGCAAGCGUUGUUCGGAAUUAUUGGGCGUAAAGGGCGCGUAGGCGGUUUGUUAAGUCGGUCGUGAAAGCCCGGGGCUCAACCCCGGAGGGUCGACCGAUACUGGCAGACUAGAGUACAGAAGAGGUAACUGGAAUUCCCGGUGUAGCGGUGAAAUGCGUAGAUAUCGGGAGAAACACCAGAGGCGAAGGCGGCUUCCUGGACCGACACUGACGCUGAGGCGCGAAAGCUAGGGGAGCAAACGGG